RNAcentral lists this ribosomal RNA (1107 nucleotides) under uncultured cyanobacterium. Its description in RNAcentral is "bacterial SSU rRNA". It matches the Rfam family "Bacterial small subunit ribosomal RNA", at positions 389 to 1513 of the family's 1533-position model. The record is from RNAcentral. Lineage: Bacteria; Bacillati; Cyanobacteriota.
GAUUAUUACCGCGUGAGGGAGGAAUGCUCUUGGGUUGGUUUCCUCUUUUCUCACGGAACAAAAAAAUGACGGUACCUGAGGAAUUGUUGUCGGCUAACUGCCCGACUUCACUGGCCACUGUACAGAGGAUGCUGGCCUUUGCUGGAGUGAUUGCUGGUAAAGGGGCGAUCCGUGCCCUUGUUCCUCUGCUGUUACCUUGUUGGCUUUCCAAAUAAUAGCGUGGAAACUACCAAGCUCCCCCGCGGUCGGGGCAGAGGAAUUCCUGGUGUAGCGGUGAAAUGCCUAUAUAUCAAGAAGAACACCGGUGGCGAACGCGCUCUGCUAUGCCAACACUGACACUGAGGGACGAAAGCUAGGGGAGCGAAUGGGAUUAGAUACCCCAGUAGUCUAGCCGUAAACGAUGGAUAUUAGGCGUAGCUCGUAUAGACCCGAGCUGUGCCGUAGCUAACGCGUUAAUUAUCCCGCCUGGKGAGUGCGCGUGGCAACUGUGAAACUCAAAGGAAUUGACGGGCGCCCCGCACAAGCGGCGGAGUAUGUGGUUUAAUUCUAUGCAACGCGAAGAACCUUAGCCAAGGCCUGACAUGUCACGAAUUCCGUUGAAAGAUAGGAAGUGCACUCAGGACUUUGAACACAGUUGGUGCAUGGCCGUCGUCAGCUCGUGUCGUGAGAUGUGCGGUUAAGUCCCGCAACGAGCGCAACCCUCGUUGUUAGUUGCCAGCAUUAAGUUGGGCACACAGAGAGACUGCCGGUGACAAACCGGAGGAAGGUGGGGAUGACUUCAAGUCAGCAUGCCCCUUACGUCUUGGGGUACACACGUAAUACAAUGCUACGGACAAAGGGCAGGUACAUAGCGAUGUGAUGUGAAUUUCAUAAACCGUAGCUCAGUUCAGAUCGAAGGCCGCAAGUCGCCUUCGUGAAGGAGGAAUCGCUAGUAAUUGCAGGUCAGCAUACUGCACCGAAUUCGUUCUCGGGCCUUGUACACACCGCCCGUCACACCAUGGAAGUUUGUCACGCCCGAAGUCGUUACCCCAACCGCAAGGAGGGGGAUGCCUAAGGUAGGACUGAUGAGUGCGGUCAAGUCGUAACAAGGUAGCCGUACCGGAAGGU